RNAcentral lists this ribosomal RNA (548 nucleotides) under Chronoxenus rossi. Its description in RNAcentral is "partial large subunit ribosomal RNA". It matches the Rfam family "Eukaryotic large subunit ribosomal RNA", at positions 660 to 1148 of the family's 3401-position model. Lineage: Eukaryota; Metazoa; Arthropoda; Insecta; Hymenoptera; Formicidae. The record is from RNAcentral.
CACGGACCAAGGAGUCUAACAUGUACGCGAGUCAUUGGGACUAGCGAGACCUAAAGGCGCAAUGAAAGUGAAGGUCGGCCCUGGUUGUCGACCGAGGGAGGAUGGGCCGCGUCGCGAUGCGGCUCCGCACUCCCGGGGCGUCUCGUUCUCAUCGCGAGAAGAGGCGCACCCAGAGCGUACACGUUGGGACCCGAAAGAUGGUGAACUAUGCCUGGUCAGGACGAAGUCAGGGGAAACCCUGAUGGAGGUCCGUAGCGAUUCUGACGUGCAAAUCGAUCGUCGGAACUGGGUAUAGGGGCGAAAGACUAAUCGAACCAUCUAGUAGCUGGUUCCCUCCGAAGUUUCCCUCAGGAUAGCUGGCACUCGGCCGUUCCGCCAGGAACGCGCGCGAGUCUCAUCUGGUAAAGCGAAUGAUUAGAGGCCUUGGGGCCGAAACGACCUCAACCUAUUCUCAAACUUUAAAUGGGUGAGAUCUCUGGCUUUCUUGAAUUAUGAAGCCACGAGCAUCUCGGAUCAGAGUGCCAAGUGGGCCAUUUUUGGUAAGCAGA